GACGAACGCUGGCGGCGUGCCUAAUACAUGCAAGUAGAACGCUGAAGGAGGAGCUUGCUUCUCUGGAUGAGUUGCGAGCGGGUGAGUAACGCGUAGGUAACCUGCCUGGUAGCGGGGGAUAACUAUUGGAAACGAUAGCCAAUACCGCAUAAUAGCAGUUGUUGCAUGACAACUGUUUGAAAGGUGCAAUUGCACCACUACCAGAUGGACCUGCGUUGUAUUAGCUAGUUGGUGGGGUAACGGCUCACCAAGGCGACGAUACAUAGCCGACCUGAGAGGGUGAUCGGCCACACUGGGACUGAGACACGGCCCAGACUCCUACGGGAGGCAGCAGUAGGGAAUCUUCGGCAAUGGACGGAAGUCUGACCGAGCAACGCCGCGUGAGUGAAGAAGGUUUUCGGAUCGUAAAGCUCUGUUGUAAGAGAAGAACGAGUGUGAGAGUGGAAAGUUCACACUGUGACGGUAUCUUACCAGAAAGAGACGGCUAACUACGUG
Molecule: ribosomal RNA, 495 nt
Filed under: uncultured bacterium
Lineage: Bacteria
Description: partial 16S ribosomal RNA
Rfam family: Bacterial small subunit ribosomal RNA
Source: RNAcentral